GGGAAGGAAACAGGCUUAGAGAAGAUCCGGAGUCACGAGUGUUGUUUAUAGUGUUUAUAGUGAUUAGUGCUUCAUUUCUGCCCUCCACCAUAUUAGUAAAGGAAAACCGAACAGCGUUGUGUGAUAUGGCAAGCUACAGAGAAUAAGAGAGUGUGAAAAGACGUGAGGUGGUGUUGCUGGAUACUGACUAAGACUAAGACUGUGUGAUCUGACAAGCUACAGAGAAUAAUGCUGGCUGGGCGUACUGAGACGAUAUCCACGCAGGAGUCGUACAAAUAGUGGUAGUAAGUCGUUCUAUCAAGAGACACUCAUCUCUCAAACCAACUAACCGAAGGGACGAGGCCUGGCCAGGGACUGAAGUUUCUGAGGAGACAUUGAGCUGAAGCAAUCUUUUCGGUUGUCUCUCUUGGUUAGAAAUGCAGCUGACACCACGCACUGCUUAGGACGCUGAGGAGCAACAAGAGACAAAGCAGACUAAGGGAUGUGGAUGGCGGCACCUGCACUAUUUAGCUCUGGUGUGAUGGCCAAGGUGUACCCAAAACCCAAGCCAACCUGCAGGUGUUCCGUGGCUACCUACCCCCAAUACCUCCAUCCUACCCCUACCACUCCUCCCCCUCACCACACCUGCUCCACCUCCUCCCCGCAUCACCAACUCUAAAAGAAAAAAACAUCCCACCUCGCUCCGCCCCGCCCUACUUCGUCCUGCCGCGCCUCUCCGCCUGA
Long non-coding RNA from Portunus trituberculatus (swimming crab), 723 nucleotides. RefSeq lists it as uncharacterized. The transcript is spliced from 5 exons. NCBI's taxonomy places the organism in Eukaryota, Metazoa, Arthropoda, Malacostraca, Decapoda, Portunidae. The record is from RefSeq and is a predicted model, not a curated record.